UUUUAGACAAUUAUGAAAAAGACAAAUGUUGAAUAUAAAAUCAAUGCAAAAUGAAGUCAUAGAGAUUUUUCUAUGAAAACAGCACUAAUUCAACUCCCAACUUUCAUUCAGUUCUUUAAGUCCCCUCUCAGUAUUCCAGUGCAUCAAGAAUUUGUUGAUUUAAUUUUCUUGAAGAACUUGAAAACUCUUGAAGAACUCCCAGAGGCUUCUGACUUUCUCUAGACCAACCUACGCCUGCUCUAAGUCUGGGGAAAAGUGAAUGGGCUUUCAGAAAUCAACUUUAUGAAGAAUUCCAAAAGAUAACCACAAAAAGAAUACAAGAUGCCCUGGAGUGUCAAAACUGACAGUGUCUCCACUGUGGUUGUGCAGUAAAUAAUCCUCACAUGAUACCUCUCAAAUGGAUGCAAAGAGAAAGACAGUGGUUGAAGAAAUUAAAAAGUAUAUAAAGACUACCAGUUCCCAGCCUUCUUCCACUUGGACAGAGCCAUGCCACUGAGGUCUAGUGGAGCCUUAAUAAUUGGAAGUGGCCCAGGCAGGCUCUUAGUGUCUAAGGGCCCUGUUUUGCACACUCACUGCCCUGUAAUAUAGCCUCUUGUAAACAGAAUUUAAGCCAUGUAUCGGGAUAUACUGUGAUUGCAGAAAUGAUAACAUACAUCAUUAGACUGAGAAAGGAGACUCAUCUAAGCAACUGAGAAGAAGAGUGGAAAAGAAUGAAAUAAAAGAAACAACUAUCAUCCAAUAUGUUAACCUCAAGUAUGAGAAAAUUAAUAUUUAUAAUGAAUAAAGAACAAAUAUAUUUGUGUGAGUAUGACUUGACAAAACAUACCACAAACAUAUAAUAUAGUUAAAUAUGCAUGUAAUAGUGAAAGAAAUUAAAACAAAACAAUCUUAGAAUAUAAAUCUUAUUUUAAAAAUGUAUUAAAAAUUAUGUAGUAUGUAAUGUUGAUGAGAAUGUGAUGAAGCUAGCACAUUUAAACAUAGGAGGUGAUGUUGUAAAUUUUUGCAGCUAUUUUGGAAAAUAUUCUGGCAAUAUGUGUGAAAGAAAAUCAUGAUACUCAUAUUUUUGAUAUUAGAAUUUAUCUGGAACAGUGUGAGAAAAAAAGGACCUAAAGUUUUUAUAGAGCCAUGUCUAUAAUACUGAAGCUAUCUCUAAUAAAACAUUUCUAAAAACCUGACCAAAAAAGUGAAACCAUGACUCCAGUAAUGUUAUGGCGGUUUAAAUUUUGAAAUGCUAGUUUAAUAAAAGUAUCAUGUAAGCCUUUCAAAUAGUAUCCAUUAAGAGUAUGUAGAAAGUUAUAAUAAUAACGAACAUUAUAAAAAAUUUACUAUUUAUAAAGUGAUUUCAUUUAUUGCAUCUGACCCUGAGGCAAGUAGUCAAAGAGAAUAGUCAAAGGGAACAUAAUGUAGAAGAUAAGAGUGUGGGUCUUAGAAAUAUACAGGUAUUAUUCCAACCCCAGCUUAUAAACCAUGUAACUUUUGGCAUAUUUUUCAUCCUCUCUCUGGUUCUUAGUUUGUUAUCUGUAGGAAUGAGAAUAAUAAUUAGACGUACUCCUAUGGAAUUCUUCAGAAGAUUUAGAUAAGGCAUUAAGUUAUAGAAAACUUAUUAUUCCAUUGUUCAGAUAAUAAAACUGGCCACCAGAAAAACAUGUAUUGUCUAAUAUAAUUUAUUUACUAAGUUUUAGCAUCAGAAUUUGAUUUCAGGUAACCAGAUAACACAUCUGUCAAAAAUAUGAUAUGCUAUUUUUGUCUGUGCAUAGUAUGUAUUUUGCUGCCUCAGCAAGAGAAUAUAAUCUACUAAAAAAAGCAAAGAAAAGAAAAGAAGAAAGAAAACUUGAGUCAUAUACAUGUUUUAUUUCUUCCAUCCCCUAUUAGUGUGCAAUGGACGUAAUAUGAGUAAAUAACCUUAAAGGAAUGAUGUUCCUUAAAUGAGUAAUUCCCUUGGCACAGGUCUAACAAGAUGACCGAGAUCAUUUAAAGUGCCCCAGUUUGAAUUUCCUCAACUUACUUCACUUCGGUACAAAAGUUUUUGUAUUCUUUGGCCCUGCAUCGUUAUUUCUUGGAAAGAUACAUCUGCCACCAGUUUCCUGGUGAUUCAUUGCAUUGCCUCCAAACUAAAAGCAUUAUCAUUCUUUCAGUCAUCUGGUCUAAUGACAUGGCUUAUGAUACAAUAAAAAUGGGAGAUACAAUAUUUCAGCUACAUGAAAUUUACAUGAAAUUUAGUUGCAUGCAGGAAAAAAAACUGUGAUUAGCAAUCAAGUGAUUGCUAAUUUAAGGUUACGGGCUUAUACGUCAACUUCUAAUGUUAUUAUUAUUAUUUGGUGCUAUAAAAAUUUGAGAGAAAAAGAAGAAUGGGAAAAGGAAAACAAUGCUGGUAAGGAAAUUAUCCCCCUGCCCCAACUGCCUAUAUAUUUUGUUGUACUAUAAAACAUAUAUUUUUGCAUAAUAAAAAUCAUAGGGCUGGAUAUACGAUUUAUUUUAACCA
Neofelis nebulosa (Clouded leopard) is the source of this 2482-nucleotide long non-coding RNA. RefSeq lists it as uncharacterized. NCBI's taxonomy places the organism in Eukaryota, Metazoa, Chordata, Mammalia, Carnivora, Felidae. The transcript is spliced from 8 exons. The record is from RefSeq and is a predicted model, not a curated record.